AUAUCAAUUCAAUUUGAUUGCUGACCUUUAUUGAUAAAUGAUAAUGCAAAGUACACACAUCUCUUACAUAGUUGGCAACAAAGCACAUAAUAUAUUAAUGUGCAUGCAACAUUCAUAUAGAAACAAACAUGCCACAACAUGCAUGUUUUCUUAUUUAAUUACUGUUUCAACAUAACACAGGCCACGCUUGGACCAUUAUAUUCCACUUUAGCCAAUCUUCGGAACCUCAGCCACAGUAUCAACCCGAAGACGAACGCGAUUUGGGUCGAUCAUUUGGUCCACCAUGGUGCCAAUAGGGGUGACCACAACAUUGAGGUCUGGCCGGUCCGCCUUAAUCCUCUCUUUUGCCACCUUAAUUGUGCAGCCCACAAGUUCAGGCCACUCCGUCUUGGGAGCAUCGCAUGCCUUACUGUCAGCUGGAGAGCUCAUCUUCACAGCUGCUCAAAGCGACACCUUCAGUAACUGCAAAUUCGUUGAACACAAGAGGAGGCCCAAUAAACAUGACAAUUAUUAUAUCGUAGAAAGAAACUAAACCCAAAAAUACAGCUGGUUUUUGCAAAUGUGCUUACACCAAAAAUGAAACGCCAAACCAGAGAACAAGAUCCCUUUUAGAUAAUAUAAGAUACCAUAUUAAAGUAGCCGAGACCAAAAGAUCAAGAUGAAAUAGGAACUACUACGUACCAGUUACCACCAAGAUAUAAGCCCUACUACUGUAUUGUUUCUUUUGCGUUCAAUGGAUGCUGGCUGUGUGGCUAUCUUGGAUGUUAGUCUAUUUAUAGGAAACGUUGAUGAAGGAACAUGUACGUUCAAAGCCAUGUGUUCAGUGAAGACCAAAAAGGUUCAUGCACCUUGACGAGGCCUUUAUCCUAUUGGGUACUACCGUACUACCACUUGUUAUUGUCGACAGCUUGGAUCAGAAAAAAUUUCAAACCACGAGCACGUUGAUGCGUGGGAAAAUUAAUGUUCCUUGAUUAAUCCACUCUUUUCACAGCAUUACAGUCAGCUAAUUAAGAAAAGAUCAUGGUGGUAGUAAACAAAUAAGGGCGAAUUGAACGUAACUCGGUUGGCUAUAUGUUCCUUUCGAAUGAACGUGACUUGGUGCAACUCUGUGCAGGCAGGCACAAUGAAUCGAGCGGUGGCAUGGCUUCAGCGCUGUGGUGGCACCACCUCAUAUAAAUGAUUUUUUCUUUUUCCUCUUUAUUUUUAUGUAUACUUUAUUUUAUGGAGUGAAUUCUUAGAAGUAUCCUAAAUAAAUUUUUGACAAAAAAUUAUUUAAAUAAUUUUUGGGAAUGCUUGUGUUAAUUAUUUGGAAAACUAUUUCUUGGAAAAUUCUAAAAUAACUUUUGUGAAUUAGUUUUCUAAAUAUAUAUUUUUAUAAAAGUUUCUAGAAAAAGAAAAGGAGGGGAGCAGAUACUUACCAUAAACAUAAACAGAGGUCCCUAUCCUACUGUGCACUAGCUGGGUGUGUUUGAUUUGGGGAUCGAACAGGGUUGGAAUGGGUUCGACCCCAUCGACCCUUGUUUGAUUGGAAAUGCAUCUGAGUUGGGUCGGACCCUCCUAGAUGCGGGUCGAAUGCAUCCAUCCAAAACGAGCGGACGCACUCGACCCACAUAAACACCGUCCGUCUCCGUUCGUGCGUGGGGCAGCGGCAGCAAGCAGGGUAGAGGUGGGGACGGCCUCCAGUCGCGCGGCGGCACGCAGCCAGGAUGGCGACGCGAGGCAGAGGGCGGACGGGGUAGAUCCUGUGGAGCAGCGGUGGCACGAGGUAGGCAGCGGCAGGCUGGGCAGGGGUGGAUCCCGUGGGGCGGCGGCGGCGGGGCGAGCUUGGGAGGUAGCAGUGGCGGCGCUUGUUCAGCGCUCACGCGAGGUAGGCGAGCCCGGGAGGCAGCGGCAGACUUGGCAGGGGCGAGCGGCGGUAGUGGAUGACAUGUGGGACCCACGUAAAACAGUUACGAAUGGUGUUAAAAUGACAUCCAAUCGACCCCUCUCAACCCUUUGAACCAAACACGAGAUGGGUUGGACCCAUCCCUUUCAACCAUACAUGAGAUGGGUUGGACCCAACCUAAAAAAGUGGAAUAGAGCCAACCUAUUCCACUUGGUCCAACCCAUUUCAUGUGGUCCUAAAAUCAAACACAUGCUAGAAGUACUGUGAGUUGUACAUGCUGUUACCUAAUAACAGCUCAGCACCAUGACUUUAAAGAAGUUUCCAGAUAAAGAAAAGAAUGGGAAUGAAAAUUUACCGCAAACAGAAAGUGAGGUGCCUAGUAUCGCACUUCGCACAAAGGCUCCUGUGCUAGUACUCGGCACCUCAGGACUAAAUGGUUAGUUCAAAGAAGAUGUUAGAUUCAGACUAGGCUCACUAAAAUAAAACUGAUGUACAACUCAGAGAUACAGCCUGAUUGUAUGUAUAGUUAUUUCUUGUGUGUCUAUGUACCUAGGAGAAUAUAUUUCAUAAUGUCUUUCUAUUGAGUAUAUCAAUUAUGAAAAUUCUAAAGGAUUCUUGCUCACUACCCCUAAUUAAAUGUAUGAAAGAGACAAAUUGUUGCAUCGUGUUGACACCGUUUUUUGACAUACAUCAAAGAUGGUGUCAAAAGGAAGCAGAGAUGCCGAUGCAUAGUAGAAAGAUAACAGCUAAUGGAAUCGGCUGAUAGGGUUGCGGAGGGUUCAGUCGAUGAAGCUAUAAGAGAUCAGCCGAUGAUGGUGAAAGCCUUGCCGAUAGAGGAAGAUAGAGGCCUAGCCGAUGGGAAAUAACCGAUGGAGAUGAUGGACUCGGUUGGUACAAACGAAAACAGAUCUUGAUGGAUCAGGAGAUGUGGAAGGAUUGACCGUUAAAAGGAAAGAGAAUCUUGGUCGGUCAAAAGGUUGUAAGGUGGUAAAGAUAGGUUCCGAUUCCCGUACGAGUCGUGUUAUUUGAAUAGUUUGUUUCCUUAAAAAUAGUUUGUUUCGUUAGAGGUAGAUAUCAUAUUUUGUCGUAAUCGAUUAGGACUAGAAGUCUUGUGCUUAGGCUAUAAAUAGAGGCCCUGCGGGGUUUGUAAGAGAUACACAUCAUAAUCAAUACAAAUAUACAAUUUCUUGCAAUUUACUUUCAAGUCGGCGACUUCACCACUGUUUUCUUUUCUUCACGAGUUCUUCCAAGCUUGUUGGGCUGCAUCGCUUUGAUCUCCGGCUAGACUGUUAGUUCCGCAUCUAUUGAAUACUUUCUAGGCUUUAACUUCAAGCGCAUCGUGUCGUUUCAUCUAUAUUUAUUCACAAGUUAUCAAUAUUUGCUAGAUCUGCAAGCUUUAUUCGUUAAAUCUUGUUGUUUUAGCAUUUAUCACAGUUAUCCAGCUUGGAACAUGUUCUGAUCAUCUUUUACCUUGUUUUUCUUAUCAAUCUAUUGUCACACAGCCGAUUAGAUCUAUUUCGAGUGUUGUUUGUAUAGUACUGUUUAGGUUGUGUUUUACGCUUCCUUUGCAUCUACUACGUCCACAUCAGCUGAUCUAGCCGAUUAUCUUUUGCCCGUAUCGGCUGUCCUGCCAACACGUCCUAUGAAGCGAUUCAGAACACCAGCCGAUUCACUCUUGUAUUUGACGUUUUACUUGUCCUUAUCAAUAAGCAGGUUAGAUUGACUGACACGCCGCAGAUCGAGAGGGCUACAACCUGAACAGGAGCGAAGCAGAUUCUUCCGGGUUUCGUGUGUUAGUACGCAGGAGUCAACCAUCCAAUUUUUGUGUCAACACACUUUUGGCACACCCAUUGGGACCAUACAAAGCCUCAACAUGUCUGUGCCAAAUACUGUCAAAGUUUCGGACGACAACAUCAUCAAGGUUACUGAGGAUGAGCUCCAGAACGAUCAGAAGGGCGAAGUGGCAAGGGCUGUGGAAGAGUUCAGAUUGGUGUGCCUGAAGUCCUUCAGCCAUACUAGGAAAGGUGAACCUGUCAAGAAGCACGCCCUUCCAACUCCUCGCCAGAUCACCUUUGCUGAAAACCCAGGGAGGAUGCAGGAAAUGAUCGAUCAGGCUCUUAAUCACACGCUGAUCAACCAAGCUACAGUAAUGACCAACACCGUGCACAACGUCAUCCUCAGCACUCUCUAUGGUGGAAACUCUUAGGGGUUUCACGGUCUAGCAUACGAGCCACCUAGGAGCGUACCGGUCGAAAGUGUGGUGACUGCGCCUGCUGUGUAUCAAUCGGCUUCUCAGUCGAUCCAGAUGUCAAGUGGGGGUUACGGUGCGGCAUUGCUUUAGAACACGAACAUUGUGCCACCCUCGCUUACUCAGAUGGCAAACCAACCUGCUCUAGCAUACUCCGUGCCAUCGCUGUUGCUAGCAUCGGUGCCAUGGGGGGCAACAGGGACGCCAGUCGGAUGGAAUCCGACCGCUGGAUACGGGAUGCUUCCAGGAUCAUUUGUUCCAGCCAUGACGUCUCCAGUACAAUCACCAUCACCAUCGGCUCCUCAGCCGACAGUCCAGCAUUAUCAGCAAAAUCCACCAGAAGUCAGCAGGGAGGCAGAUGUUCCGGAUCUUCACAGAGAUGGUUCUCCAAUAGUGGUGUACGAUAGGACAACCAGCAUGUUACAACACGUUGAUCCUCCUCGUCAGCAAGCGUCGGCUCUUCAACCAAUGAUCCAGCCGCAGCCAAUCGUGGUGCCACAGAUUCAACAGCAGGUACCGGUAGUCUAGCCGAUGGUCUAGCCUAUUGUCCAGCAGCAGCCACAACAGGUUGAUUGGGCCGCAAGGAUAGCUGAGGUGAUGCAAGAUCAGUUCGAGCUAAAACCUAAACUGCAGACCUACAUGUACAGGACGCCGUACCCGCCGGCCUAUGAUGUGUUGCCGUUCCCUCACCGGUACAAGGUGCCCGAUUUCACCAAGUUCUCAGGCCAAGACAACACAUCUACGGUGGAGCACGCCAACAGGUUCAUCAUUCAGUGUGGGGAAGUAGCUACGCAAGAUACUCUGAGAGUUUGGCUAUUCUCAUCAUCUCUGUCCGGGUCGGCCUUCCGGUGGUUCACAACACUACCAUCUAACUCCAUGAUCACCUGGGCCGAUCUGUAAAAAUAGUUCCACAAGUACUUCUUUGCUGGGGUUCAUGAGAUGAAGUUGACAGAUCUGACCAGUCUCAGGUAGAGGAGUGAUGAGUUGGUGGCCAGCUUCAUCCAGCGAUUCAGAGAAGGCAGGAACAAGUGCUAUAGCUUGGUCUUGAGCGACAAGCAACUAGUUGAUGCGGCUUUUCUGGGGCUCCUGCCGCACAUCAAAGAAAGGUAUGUUUCGUAGGAGUUUGAGAGUCUAAGCCAGAUUGUACAUUGGCUGUCGAACCAAGACAUGCGCCUGUUCGAUCAGAGGAAGAACUUUCAGAAGAGUGUGGCAUACGUAGAGUGUUCGAACUCUGAGGAAGAGGCAGAGAUCGGCUUGGCAAAAAUGGGUUAAGACCAAAAAGUUGAUCUCAUGCCCAUACGACAAGAAGGAGCCUGAGAAAUUCAGGUUCGAUACCUCUAAGGCCGAUGAGAUCUUUGACUUGCUGCUGCAAGAAGGGCAGAUCUCUCACCAUACCAUACGAUCCCGUUGGCCAAAAAGCUUAAGAAGAUCAAGUACUGCAAAUGGCACAACGCUACGUCUCAUGACACGAAUGAGUGCAAAGUCUUUCGGCUGUAGAUCCAAUCAGCUAUUGAGCAGGGGAGACUUAAAUUCGAGGUCCCCACGAAGCCAGCAAGGCUGAUGAAGAUUGAUUAGCAUCCCUUCCCAACCAACAUGGUGGAGGUUGGCGACACGAGCGCACUGCAAAAGAAAGUGCUGACUUCAGAAUCAGCCAAGAAGAGUGGAGCUGUGGACCCUAAAGUACAAGUGUCAGCCAAUGACAUCAAAGGAAAGGGUCAGUUACAGGAGGGGGAAAACUCAAAAAGGCCUCAUCGGCUGGUCACCUCUCAAGAGUUUCUCAACAAGUUCCAAAGGCAGCAAGAACAGGCAAGGCGCAGGGAAGAGAUGAUACGCUGCCAUGAAAACCACUGGAGAUGCCCGUUCUUCAUAUACUGCUGGGAGGAGGGAAUCAAGCUACCAUUGAUUGACAACUGCCCUGAGUGCAACGGGUCAUACCAAGACAACCGUUCAUCCAAAAGGCCGUGCUUUGAUGACAGGAACCAAAAGCCGAUCAGCAGGGAUAGGUCUCACCAUGAUGACAGGUGCAUCCCAGUGCGUGAUCAGUUGGGGGGUAGGGUCAGUGUACACGAUCGGCUGGGGGGCAGGUUUAAUGUGCCCAGUAGGCUAGAGGAAAGGACCAAUGCAAGGGUCCUCAAUGAAGAGCCUCUGUGCUGCAAGCUGGAGCGGUGGCAUGCAUCACAAGACAAAGCUGUAGAACAUCCUAGAUGGUUCCCUGCAGGUUUGACUAAGUCCCAGAAGAGGAGGGUCCAACACCUGCAAUAAUGGGAGCAGCAAGAAGAGGAACAAAGGUGGUUUUGGAAAGAAAACGGGUCAAAUCCCAAGUAUGGCUCGUCAAAGACAAAGCCAAUGACAAAGAUGACAAUCCCGAAUUGGUUGCAGAUGUCAAUAUGGUCUUCAUCUUGCCGAUGGAGUUCAUGGCUCCAGCCGACCACGAAGCAAUGAAAGCAGAGCAAGAAAGAGCAAGAAAUGGCAGAGUUAGCCUUGGAGCCAAUGAUGGCUACCUUCAAAAAAUCUGAAGACAAUAAGCAUCGGCAUUUGAAGGCUCUGCUCCUCAAGGGACAGGUUGACGGGAGGCCGGUUACCAAGCUCCUAGUGGAUGGAGGUGCAGUGGUAAACAUUAUGCCGUACGCCAUGUUCCGUAAACUCAGGAAAGGAGAGGAAGACCUGAUGAAGACAGACAUGAUGCUGAAAGACUUCGAAGGAAACGUCUUGCCAGCUCGAGGGGCACUCUCUGUGUUGACCUGACAAUCAGAAGUAAGACCCUACCUACUACAUUUUUCGUUAUCAAUGGCAAAGGGUCCUACAAUAUGCUUUUGGGAUGGGAUUGGAUUCACGCCAAUUGCUGCAUUCCGUCUACGCUGCAUCCAUGUCUCGUCCAAUGGAUCAACGAUUCAGUAAAGGUUGUCACUGCUGAUUCUUCCUUCAGCAUCGCUGCAGCCGAUGCCCAGCAGUGGAGUUAUGAACAAGUGAGCUGCAUAUCUAGCAAAGUCUAAGAUACAGAGUUCUUGAAGGUAUCCGGUUUCGGACUACAGCAGAUCCAAGCAGUCAGCUCUGAAGAAUCAUCUUGAUGGAUGAGUUCAUCCAAGAAGAUGGAAAGCUCGGGCAUGGGUUUACAUUUGGCCGAUGAAUUAGAGAUGGUAGAUCUUGGAGAUGGUAGCAAACCAAGGCUGAUGUAUGUUAGUGCUAAAUUAGAUCCUGAAUAUAACCUUGAGUUGGUUGAGUUGUUAAAAGAAUUUAAAGAUUGUUUUACUUGGGAAUAUCAUGAAAUGCCUGGCUUAGAUUGAUCUAUUAUCAAACAUCGGUUGCCCAUAAAACCAGGAUAUCGGCCAUACCAGCAGCCUGCGCGGCGUUGUAAUCCGAAGAUAUUAUCUAAUAUUAAGGCUGAUAUUACAAGAUUAAUUGAAGCGGGGUUUAUUCGGCAAUGUCUGUAUGCUGAGUGGAUAUCUAAUGUGGUUCAUGUAUACAAGAAGAAUGGAAAGCUGCAUGUUUGUGUUGAUUUCAGGAAUCUCAAUCAAGCCACGCCGAUGGAUGGUUACCCAUUACCGACAGCUGAUGUGUUGAUAGAUGCUACUGCAGGACACAUAAUCAUUAGUUUCAUGGAUGACAAUGAUGGAUGUAACCAAGUAUUAAUGGUGGAAGAAGAUAUUUCCAAGACGACCUUCAGGUGUCCUGGGCACAUAGGCUUAUUUGAAUGGGUGGUCAUGACCUUUGGAUUGAAAAAUGCUGGGGUCACAUAUCAGCGGGCCAUGAAUUACAUCUUUCAUAAACUUAUCGGCAUCCUAGUGGAGAUUUAUAUUAAUGAUGUCGUAGUUAAAUUGAAAGGGUACCAGGAGCACUUAGCCAAUUUACGUGAGGUCUUGGAAUGCACAAGGAAACAUGGGUUGAAAAUGAACUCGAAUAAUGUGCCUUUGGCGUGUCGGCUGGACUGUUCUUGGGGUUCAUGGUCCAUGAACGUGGCAUGGAAAUUAAUUGAAAGAUCAUUGGUGCUAUUAACACGAUCGUGGCUCCGCAAAAUAAGAUUGAGUUGCAAUCAUUGAUUGGCAAGAUCAAUUUUAUCUGAAGAUUCAUAUCAAACCUGUCUGGAAGAAUUCAAUCUUUCAGCCCGUUGUUUAAACUAAAGGCCAAUCAGGAGUUUGUUUGGGGGGCAGAGCAGCAAAAGGCGUUGGAUGAUAUCAAACAAUACCUGGUGUCACCUCCUGGGUUGGUUCCUCCACAAGCUAACAAGCCGUUCAGGUUGUACCUAUCAGCCAAUGAGCGUGCUAUCGGGUCGGCUCUUGUCCAAGAAUUUGAAGGGAAGGAAUAAGUAAUCUAUUAUGUGAGCAGAAGACUCUUGGAUGCUGAGAUCAGGUAUUCUCCAGCCAAAAGGCUAUGUCUGUGCCUAUAUUUCUCCUACACUAAGCUUAGACACUAUUUAUUAUCGGCCGCAUGCGUUGUAGUAUGCAAAGAUCAUGUGGUCAAAUACAUGUUAUCAUUGCCAAUUUUAAAUGGAAGGAUUGGGACAUGGAUUCUGGCUCUGUUAGAAUUUGAUCUAAAAUAUGAAUUGACUAAAGCUGUCAAACGGCAAGUUAUGGCCAAUUUCGUUGCUCAGCAUUGUGGGCUGGAGGUUACUAUCAUUGAAGUAGCCCCAUGGACUUUAUUCUUUGAUGGGUCUUCAUGUGGGACUGGAUUGGGAAUCGGCAUAAUUCUCGCAUCGAGGGGCAAGCUAUGAGUUCUCAUUACCGAUUGAGGCUUCUUCUACCAACAAUCAAGCUGAGUAUCGAGCCAUUUUGAAGGGCAUCCAAUUGUUGAGAGAAAUCAAAGCUGAUGCCGUUGAGAUAUUUGGAGACUCUAUGCUUAUUAUCAAUCAGCUGACUGGAGUUUAUGAAUGCAGAGAUGAUAUCUUGAGAAUUUACUAUAAGCAGUGCCUUCAGUUACUUAAAGAGUUCAAGAGCGUGAUUAUUGAGCAUAUUCCUAGAGAUUACAAUGAGGAUGGUAACAAACUCGCUCAGCAUGUCUCUGGUUAUCGGCCGAUUUGUAGUGCUAUGGCCUUGGAGUUGAUGGCUAAUGACUGGAGGAAAGAAAUAGCUGGUUACUUAAAGGAUCCUUCCAAGAAAAUUCAUAGGCGAGUUCAAUUUCAGGCUUUGAAAUAUGUAUUGCUUGAAGAUGACCUUUAUUAUCGGACGGUUGAUGGGGUCCUGCUUAAAUGCCUCGGCGUUGAAGAAGCGAAGAAUCUGAUGGGCGAAAUCCAUGAAGGGGUUUGUGGAGCUCAUCAAUCAGCUUUUAUGAUGAAAUGGAUGAUUAGAAAUAAUGGGUACUAUUGGCCAACAAUACUUGAAGAUUGCUUCAAAUACUAUAAGGGUUGUUACGAUUGUCAGAGGUUUGGCAAUGUGCAAAGAGCCCCGGCAUCGGCUAUGAAUCCUAUAAUAAAGCCGUGGCCAUUUAGGGGUUGGGGUAUUGAUUUGAUCGGCCAAAUUUAUCCACCUUCAAGUAAGGGUCAUAAGUUCAUAUUGGUAGCAACGAAUUAUUUUACUAAGUGGGUCGAAGCAAUUCCCUUGAAGAAUGUGACAUCGGCAAGCAUGGUUGAUUUUGUUAAAGAGCACAUCAUCUAUCAAUUUGGUAUUCCUCAAACUAUCAUGACCGAUCAAGGGAUGAUGUUCACCUCAGGGGAGUUCGAAGAAUUUGCUACUAAUAUGGGAAUUAAAUUGUUGAAUUCUUCUCCGUAUUAUGCCCAAGCAAAUGACCAAGCUGAAUCAUCUAACAAGGGGAUCAUUAAACUAAUUAAGAGAAAAAUUGAAGAGCAGCUGAGGCGUUGGUAUACUAUGUUGAACGAGUCCAUAUGGGCAUAUCGGAUGGCUUGUCACGGAGCCACAAAAGUAUCCCCUUAUCAGUUGGUUUAUGGGUAUGAAGCAGUGCUACGUUGGGAGUUAAAGACUGGGUCUAGGCGUGUGUCGUUGCAAGAUCAGUUAACAACCGAGGAAUACUCUGCGUUGAUGAAAGGAGAGUUGGAAGACUUAGCGGGUCAUCCGCUAAGGGCUUUGAUCAGUAUCGAAGAAAAUAAGAAAAGGGUGGCUAGAUGGUACGACAAAAAGGUCAAGGUCAAAGAGUUUUCCCAAGAAGAUCUGGUCUGGAAACUGGUGUUGCCAAUUGGAUCUAAAGAUCCUAAAUUUGGAAAAUGGUUGCCUACGUGGGAGGGACCAUAUUGGAUAAACCGGUGUGCUCUAGGCAAUGCGUAUAUUUUGGAGACACUUGAAGGAGAAGAGUUCACAAGGGCUCUAAAUGGAAAAUACUUAAAGAAAUACUACCCUAGUAUAUGGGUAGAUGCAUAGCCGACGGCGCAAUGCUUCGGGUUGAUAUAGCCGAUACUGAGGAUAUUGCCUUUAGCCCAAAAGGAAGGAAGGAAAAAAGGCAGACAUAUGGAUAGCCGAUGAAAUAUGAGCUGAUCGCGAUUCGGUACAUCGGCUGUGAUAUGGCCGACGCAAUACAAGUCACCCUUAGAACAAAUAAUACUUGCAACAUUUGGGAUACAGAAGGUUAUUACAUCGAAGUCAUUGUCAUAUCAUGGCCAAGAUAUUUUAUCGCAGGCAAAUCUGGCUGGCUCUAUAUUGGUAUCGGCAAAUACCUACUCCCUUUGGCGAGAUAUGCUUGGGAGGCUCCCUAGUUGGGUCUCAGUAGUGACGAUCUCCCUGUCGACUCGGACCAGUUCCAGUAGAAGUUGGAUCCUCCUUGCUUCCAAACUAGUUAACUUGUCUUCAAGCAAUACACGAGGGGGAGGUUAAUGGCUUCGAAGGGUUGGCUGCUGCGCUUGCUAGCUUGAGCCUGCAGCUUCGAUUGAGGACAAGAUCGAUUUGACAUCCGCAGGAAGAUGAUCUCUGAUUCGGUCACGAUGAGCUUGGAUCAAGGCUUUGUCUAUUUAGGUGAGAGGCUCAUUGGAAUGGAGGAUCUGGAUGACUCAUUCAAGCUGUUCGUCCACUUGAUUUGGCUAAAAAGGGGGGAACGAAGAGUCGAAGAUUGGUUCACAAUAACCAAUUUGAAAUUGAGAAACCAUAACGAUACCUGAUUGACCGAUGAAGAAGAUGACAUCUUGGACAUGAGAGUUUCGGUUCGAAUCAAGUGCUUACAGAGACGAAGGCAUGUGUAGUUGUGCAAAUGCGUCUAAGGGGAACAAUUGCUGCUCAUAUUUAUAGAAUGACAUUGAAGGAUUUGGACGUUAAGCAAUAGUCGGCCAGAAGAGGCGUAUUGAAUAAAAUAGCUGUUGGCGAGUCAGAGAAAGCUGCGAAGAAUUAGCCAAUUCACAUUCAAGGCAGACAGUGAAUGAUGACAUCACAAAAGAAAGAUACAUGGAGCCCAAUAAUGUUCCAUUACAACUAUCCUAGAAGGGUUUGGAUAGCAUUUAUCGCACCCAAGCGAAUCUGAUCGGUUGCCUCUAUUACUCUAUGGUCAUCAUCGGCUGAGCGGGGGAUGUCUGGUAUGCUUCGAUGAAGCUGAAUAGCUUGACGAGCAUGGGUUUGCUUGUCUUGCUCUAACUGCUUGAGGACGCUUGGGAGCUGAGCAAGCUUGCUUUCCUUUGUACCAAUGGCGUCGCUGAUGAUCUUCAUUUCCUUGGCGAGUUCUGCCCACCGAGCUUUAAGUCGAUCUAUUUCGCUGACGAUGUUCGGCCGAGAAUUGCUGAGGAAGCUGAUCCUGUGAUGAAGUUCAUCGGCACGGAGCCUGUGGGAUUCUUUCUCUUGGUGCAACUACUGCCACUUGGCGUGAUCGGCUAUGCGUUGUAAAGCCCUUGACACCGGAAUCUGCAUGCUCUCUAUGUAUGCUGUAGAAAAUAGAGCUUCACUUACUCAGGAUCAAGAAGCAUUUCUGACGCGAAGGUGAGUGGCACAGAGAUUACAACAUUCCCAUCACAGUAAAAUAGUUCAACACUUUAUUACAUCAGAGUUUUCAAAAUCCAAACAAAGUUUGCAAGGUUGUAAACAACGAAGAAGUAAAACAGUGGAAGCUACACAACGAUAUAUAAUACCAUGGCGAAGCCGACCAUGAUAUCCAUUUCAAUGAUCCACGCUGUCUGAGGCUGGUUUCCACUUGAUCGACCAACCUGGAGGGAGUUGGGUCGACCAAGUCAAGCUGGCAACCAUUUCCUCGUACUCAGCACUACCUAAAAACAUAGCCACAAGCAAGGCUGAGCAACUAGUACUCAGCAAGACUAACCCGAUAGGUGAUAACUACUUCACCGACUCCUAGUUAUGCAAUGCUUUUUGGCUGUGGGUUUGUUUUUGCCAAAAGCGCCUAGAGUUGAUCCUUACUUUCAAUAUUUUAGCUCAAGUUCUAAGUUCAUUAACCAGUCUAAAUUAGCAACUUAUACUAAGCAAGCAUUGUUUCCAGACAAUUAAAGAUCAAGCAUCAAGAUUAAUAUCAUCAUGUUCCAUCUUUACUCAAUACAGAAUAGCGAUCAAGCAAUCCCAAACUAUGAGAGGCAAACGAAUUGAUUCGAAUUUAUUAACCAUGCAUGGCGAACCUAAUCUCACGACAUUCGUGCACCAUGAGGGUCGCUUCACUUGUCAGCCGUCCCCAUCGAUUCCUUAGGCACGUGUUAGGUCCAAACUUCCUUUGGCAUGCAAUGCUCCAUAGUCCCGGCCUCUUGCCGUACUGUGACCGCACUUGUACCCACAUGAUGCACCUUGGGAACGACGUUCCAAGGACAGCAGGAAUAUAAGCCAUGCCCCAGUUCAAUCAGGUACUAGGCUUCCCUAUCCCAUACUAGGUCUGAGAUUAGUACUUUCAAACACUUAAUCACGAACGCCGACACGUUUCGACCUUAGCAAGUUCAUUACUAGAAAGACGGGGCAAACCACCACAUCGGAACCAUUUCCGGUCCCAUCCAUCAUCCUUAUAGUUGUAGUAUCAAUAAACAAACAACUCCUAUAACUCGCGAGUGACAGGCAAUCACUCGACUUUUACCGAGUCCUAUUUAGCAUAGCAACUACUUGACCUUAGCAACUAGUGUUCAGAUUCAAAUGUACUAAGUUCAUGCAUCUAUGGUUUCAAUCAACUCCUACAAACGUAAAUGCACAAUCAUAAGUAUCAACAUAUUGCAUAAAUUUAAAUUAGGGAAGCAUGCACCGGUGAUAUGGCAGGGGCUGUUCCCAAUCUUUCGAUGAGAGGAGGGGUAACUUCGAUUUGGGGGUGGAAUCAACAUUGGCUGUCCGACUACAACAAUCACAGGAUGCUGCGCCUUAGCAACAGGUACACCGAUUCCGACGUUGGCUGUUCUUGCCGGGCCAAGAACACCCUUGAACCUGCUAGCAAUCGAGAACAAGCAAGAACAAGAUGAACAAGCAAAUAAACCCACGGAUCUGAAACAAAUGAAACCUGAAUCACGAGUUGGGGUCUUGAAUCAAGCAAAUCGGGUGGUCUAGUCGACACACGCGUUCACUAGGAAGUAGCAGUAGCUAACUUGCAUCUAAAACAAAACCCAAGUUCAUCCUGGUGGCUGCUAGAUGUAUUUAUACAUGGGCAACAGCAAGGAGGCGUGGGAGGGUGUAAACCCUAAGCUGGAAAGGGCCCCUAGUGGGCUGCACGAGAUAUAAGGGUUUCAGCCCAAGACUGGAAGGCUGAACGUCUCUUUGUCAAUUCUGCUCAGCUCCGGUGGAAUUUCGUCAUGAGGUUGGAUCCAUCUGAAAGUGAACUUUAAGAUCUUUCCAAUGAGUACUCAUAUGCCUCAAACAACAUCCGGAGUUGAGAAAUAUUGCCACGUCAAUUUGAUGUUCCCUGGCUGUACGAACUUGAAGUCUAAACUUGAUGUCCGAUCUUGUGCUUUCUUAUUGUGUGAUCUUGAUGCCCAAACUGAUUGGUUGAUCCAUUAGGCUCCUCUCCAUCAUUCCUAAUAAUAAUAAAAUCAUCACAAUGACUUAGUAGCAUCCAAUUCUGAGAUGAGAGUUUAUGGACAGCGAGGAAUGAGUUAACUUGAUAAUUUAGCUCUCGUGCACGGGCUCUUGUCAUUGGUCCUUGCUGCAUAGUAGGUGUGGUUGUAUCAUUGGAAGGGAUGUCCUCAUCAUCCUCCCCUUCUUGCAUGUGAGUCGUCCUCGACUCAAGUUCAUCUUCCUCGCCCAAAUAUGGUUUCAAAUCUGCAAUGUUAAAUGUGGGGCUGACCCCAAAAUCUGCAGGCAACUCAAGUUUGUAGGCAUUAUCAUUGAUCUUAGCUACAACUUUAAAAGGACCAGCAGCUCUCGGAAGCAACUUUGACUUUCUCAAAUCAGGAAACCGAUCCUUUCUCAAGUGCAGCCAAACCAAAUCACCCGGUUCGAAAGUAACAUGCUUCUUUCCUAAGCUACCAGCAAGUUUAUAUUUAGCAUUCAUGUUCUCUAUGUUCUCUUUUGUGGUCUCAUGUAUUUUUAACAUCAACUCAGCACGUUGUUUAGCAUCAAAAUUCAAUCUCUCAGAAGUUGGUAAAGGCAGCAAUCAAUAGGGGCACGAGGCACAAAACCAUAAACAAUCUCAAAAGGGCUCUUUUUAGUAGUAGAGUGUUGUGAACGAUUGUAAGCAAACUCAACAUGAGGCAAACAUUCUUCCCACAAUUUUAUGUUCUUUUUCAAAACUGCCCUAAGCAUGGUAGAUAAAGUUCUAUUCACAACCUCGGUUUGUCCAUCAGUUUGGAGAUGACAAGUAGUGGAAAAAAGCAACUUAGUACCCAAUUUAGCCCACAAAGUUCUCCAAAAAUGACUAAGAAAUUUUGCAUCACGAUCUGAAACAAUUGUGUUUGGUAUACCAUGCAAACGAACAAUCUCACGAAAGAACAAUUCAGCAACAUGAGUAGCGUCAUCGGUCUUAUGACAUGGUAUAAAAUGUGCCAUCUUAGAAAAUCUAUCCACAACCACAAAGACACUAUCCCUCCCCUUCUUUGUUCUAGGCAGUCCUAAAACGAAAUCCAUAGAAAUAUCCUCCCAUGGUGCAUUAGGAACAGUUAGAGGCAUGUACAAUCCAUGAGCAUUAAGGCGUGACUUAGCUUUUUGGCAUGUUGCGCAGCGAGCAAUGAAUCUCUCCACAUCCCUCCUCAUCUUGGGCCAAAAGAAAUGAUCAGCAAGGAUGCUUUCCGUCUUCUUUGCACCAAAGUGUCCCAUCAGCCCUCCUCCAUGCGCCUCCUGCAAUAAUAACAUACGCACGGAGCUAGCUGGAAUGCAUAGCUUGUUAGCUCGAAAUACAAAUCCGUCAUUGAGGACGAAUUUGUUCCAUGUCUUUCCCUCCUUGCAAUUCAGCAACACAUCUUUAAAAUCACCAUCAUGGGCAUAUCGCUCUUUUAUUGUUUCCAAGCCAAAAAUUUUGAAAUCAAGUUGUGAAAGCAUGGUAUAACGUCUAGACAAAGCAUCAGCAAUUACAUUUUCCUUCCCUUUCUUGUGUUUGAUGACAUAAGGAAAGGACUCAAUGAAUUCAACCCAGCGAGCAUGCCUACGGUUCAGUUUUGCUUGACUUCAAAUAUGCUUCAAUGAUUCAUGAUCAGAAUGUAUAACAAACUCUUUGGGCCAUAAAUAAUGCUGCCAUGUUUCUAAAGUCCGAACUAGAACAAGCAAUUCUUUAUCAUAAGUAGAAUAGUUCAAACUAGGCCCACUCAACUUCUCGCUGAAAUAUGCUACAGGUUUUCCUUCUUGUAACAAAACACCUCCCAAACCAAUUCCACUAGCAUCACAUUCAAGUUCAAAAGUUUUAGUGAAAUCAGGGAGUUGGAGUAAAGGGGCAUGGGUUAACUUAUCUUUCAAUGUGUCAAAAGCACUCUUGUGUGCUGCAGCCCAAGUGAAUGUAACGCCCUUCUUGGUGAGUUCGUGCAAUGGGGCUGCAAUGGUGCUGAAAUCCCUCACAAAACGGCGAUAAAAUCCAGCAAGCCCGAGAAAGCUUCUCACUUGUGUGACCGUUGUGGGAACCGGCCAGCUAUGUAUUGCUUCAACCUUGGCUUGAUCAACUUCAAUUCCCUGUGGGGUCACAACAUAGCCAAGAAAAGAGACUCGAUCCGUGCAAAAGGUGCACUUCUCAAGGUUACCAAACAAACGUGCAUCACGUAGAGCAUUAAAAACAUCACGCAAAUGAUCAAGAUGUUCCUCAAGUGAUCUGUUGUAUAUCAAGAUGUCAUCAAAAUAUACCACAACAAAUCUACCAAUGAAAGCGCGUAAAACUUCAUUCAUUAGUCUCAUGAAAGUGCUGGGUGCAUUAGUGAGACCAAAAGGCAUAACUAACCACUCGUAUAGACCGAAUUUAGUUUUAAACGCUGUUUUCCAUUCAUCUCCUAGCUUCAUGCGAAUCUGGUGGUAACCACUACGCAAAUCAAUUUUUGAGAACACAAUGGAGCCACUUAAUUCAUCAAGCAUAUCAUCUAGCCUAGGAAUAGGAUGACGAUAUCUGAUUGUAAUGUUAUUAAUCGCUCGGCAAUCUACACACAUGCGCCAUGAUCCAUCUUUCUUAGUAACCAAAAGAACAGGAACAGUGCAAGGGCUAAGAGACUCACGCACAUAACCUUUAUCGAGCAAUUCUUGCACUUGGCGCUGAAUCUCUUUAGUUUCCUCGGGGUUGGUCCUGUAUGGCGCACGGUUGGGCAAUGAGGCUCCAGGAAUAAGGUCAAUCUGGUGCUCAAUCCCACGGGUUGGUGGCAGCCCUGGUGGCACCUCAUUUGGAAAAAUGUCCGCAUACUCCUGCAAAAGGUUAGUAACUGCAAGAGGCAAAGAAGAAGGUAUCUCCUGAAGUGAAAACAAAGUUUGUUUGCAAAUCAAAGCAUAGCAAACAGCAGUAUUAGCAUCAAUCUCAUCCAAAUCAGAUUUGGUUGCAAUGAAACAUGACCCUUUCAGCUUGAUCUCAUUUUUAUUAUUGUGGGCAGAUUUAGUGUUCUUCUUUGUGUGCUUUUUAAGUUCAUGUGCUACAAUCUGAUUUUCACUCUUAGCAUGCUCCUGAUUCAUUAAUUUACUAGCUCUAGCAAGUUCAUCUUUCAAAAUAGCUUCAGGAGACAUUGGAUGCAAAAUAAGUUUCUUGUCAUUAUGCAUAAAAGAGUAUUGAUUUGUUUUACCAUGAUGCAAAGAAUCAAUGUCAAAUUGCCAUGGUCGUCCUAACAACAUAGAGCAUGCUUGCAUGGGCACGACAUCGCAGUCAAUAGAAUCAUGAUAAGAACCAAUAGCAAAAUUAACUCUCACCAACCGUGUUACCUUCACCUUACCGCUGCUGUUUAGCCAUUAAAUGUAGUAAGGUUGUGGAUGUGGCUGGGUGCACAAUGCAAGCUUCUCCACCAUUUCAGCACUUGCCAAGUUGUUGCAGCUCCCUCCAUCAAUGAUGACUCGGCAAGAACGCUCCUUGAUCACACACUUGGUUUGAAACAAAGUGUGGCGCUGAUUUUGUUCAGCCUUCUCCAUUUGUGCACUCAACACUCGCUGCACCACAAGGCUCUCAUAGUUUUCAGCAUGUUCCGUUCCAAUGUGCUCCUCAUUUUUGUUGUGCUCCUCAUCUUCCCCUACAUUGUUAGCUGCAAGCAAAGCAUAUGUUUCUUCAUCUAAAUCACUAGCAGAGGAAUACUCACCAUUAGGACGCACAACUAGCACGCGUGCACUUGGGCAGUCCUUGCGCACAUGACCGUAACCUUUGCAGCGGAGGCAUUGAAUGUCUCUCAUUCGCCCUGAGGAUGCAAUUGAGGAUGAACUCUUGGUUGGUGCAGCAGCUGCCCCCUUUGUGGGUUCAGGAGGGCAUGGUGAGGAGUUCGUUGUCAAAGGUCGUGGUUUGCUGCUUGAUGAAGAUGGGGCAGCGACUCGGUACAGUUGGGCAGUGGGGUUGGAUGGUGUCCAAGAGGUAGCACGACCUGCAGAAAUGUUAGUUCUCGUGCUAGCACUCCGUCCCUGUACUUCCCUUUCAGCUUUACAAGCAAGAUGAAACAAACGGGUGAUCGAAUUGUAUUCUUUGUAAGCCAAAAUAUCCUGAAUUUCCCGAUUCAGCCCACCCAUAAACCUAGCCAUAGCUGCAUCCUCAUUUUCUACCAAACCACAAUGAAGCAUCCCUGUUUGCAACUCUUGAUAGUACUCUUCUACAGAUUUGUUUCCCUAUCUCAAAAGCUGAAGCUUAUGCAAAAGAUCACAUGCAUGAUAAGAGGGAACAAAUCUAGCUCGCAUAACUCUUUUCAUAGCAUCCCAAGUUUGUGGAGUGUUGUUUGGGUGGCUGCGCACAUAUUCGCUCCACCAAAUAGAAGCAAAAUCAGUAAACUCACUAGUAGCAGCCCUAAUACGUUUGUUUUCAGGAAAAUCAUGACAUGCAAAUUUUUGAUCAACAGCUAGCUCCCAAGUGAGAUAUGCAUUGGGGUCAUAUUUUCCAUCAAAAGAGGGCAUGCUGAAUUUAAUCUUCCCUAAAGAAUCAUCAUUGUCGCGUACCUCACGUCGUGGUUGACGAGCAUGUCCACCAUGUCGACGGCGGCGCUGCUGCUGGUUAUGUUGGCCAUUUACCUCCCCAUCAAGCUCUGUGUCAGCUGAAUAUUCUUCCUCAUCUUGCCCAGCAAUGCUACCCUCAGUGUUGUUGUUGUUGCGCCGUCCCGAACCAUCACGACCCUCCUGGUCCAUCCUAUCCAAACGUGCCAAAAUACCUACAAGAGAGGUGUUAAGAGCCCCAAGCGUGUUCGCCAUUGAGGUCAGCUUGGUGUUGGUGUCGAUCUGCGUGGCCUCCAAUUGGCCAAGGCGUUCGUUGGUAACUCGAACAUCCUCAUCAAGGUGUUCAGCAUGCACCCUUACUUGGCGUUCAAAGUGUUGAAUGAUGCCCCUUGUUCGAGGUGAAUGAACUUGUCCAUCAUCCUCAUUUCCUGCCAUGGUUAGACAAGGGAAAAAAUGUCCUACCAACUAGUGGAACUAGGUGACAGCAAACUCCAUGCUCUCAAUCUUGUUCCAUCAAGUUCUUACAUGUUCUUACCAUGCUAGGAAGUUGGUGUUGGCAGCCGGCAAGAACAGCACAAAAUGUUACACAAGCACAACCCUGUGACGUAGUAGAUAAUUUGUGGAGCUAUAGGUGGCUGCAAGAAAAAAAAAUCAAGGAACAGCUAGAACCACGUUAGCCAAAGCAAGUUGAAUAAAUGUUCACAAUGGUACUGUGCUGGUCCUAGGCUAAACCAUAUUAGAGACGUGAGCCUAGACACAAACGUAGUCACCCAACAGCGGCAAACAAGGCAUACAAAGAGAGUAAUGCAGCAACAAGAACUCUUUUUCUUCCUUUCUUCUUUUCCUUCUUGUUUCUUCCUCUUUUUUUUCUUUUUUUUCUUUCUUUCUUUUUUUUUCUUUUCUUUUCAGGGGCCUCAAAUGUUAUGUUUGGCACAAUGAAACAAAACAAUUACUUCACAUAGCCCUCCUUGCUUUUAGAUGCACAGAUUACACAGCAGAUAUGCGGAAAUCUCCAUAGCGUUUGCAAGGCGCUCAGAAAGAAUUUGGCGGCAAGGUUAAUUUUCCCUGAAAGAGCACAAAGUAACCUUUCCAGAAUGUAUCUAAACACUUGAAUCGGAGAUUGGAUGCAAGAAAUAGAGCUGAUUUCUUCUCGUGCAGAUCUGGAAGUGGGGAUUGCGAAAAUAGUGGGCAAAUGCAGCAGCGUGAAAAGGUGGGGGGAAAGUGGCAGCGAAUCUAAUGGUGAUAAAAACGUGACAAGAACUCAAAACUCUAAUGGAUUAGAACUUAAGAACCAGCACUUGACACCAUGAUGCAACCACAAACUCAACAAGCCAAGAACUAGGUAGAACAGCAAGGGCUCCAACUAGUUUUCUUUUUGGGAUUUCAGAUCUAGCCUAUCUAUCUUUUUGGGUAUUUUUGGACUGUAGGUAAAGUAAAGAAUGGGUAGUUACUCUCACCGAUUAACCUUGCUCUGAUUACCACAUGAUAUGGCAGGGGCUGUUCCCAAUCUUUCGGUGAGAGGAGGGGUAACUUCGAUUUGGGGGUGGAAUCAACAUUGGCUGUCUGACUACAACAAUCACAGGAUGCUGCGCCUUAGCAACAGGUACACCGAUUCCGACGUUGGCUGUUCUUGCCGGGCCAAGAACACCCUUGAACCUGCUAGCAAUCGAGAACAAGCAAGAACAAGAUGAACAAGCAAAUAAACCCACGGAUCUGAAACAAAUGAAACCUGAAUCACGAGUUGGGGUCUUGAAUCAAGCAAAUCGGGUGGUCUAGUCGACACACGCGUUCACUAGGAAGUAGCAGUAGCUAACUUGCAUCUAAAACAAAACCCAAGUUCAUCCUGGUGGCUGCUAGAUGUAUUUAUACAUGGGCAACAGCAAGGAGGCGUGGGAGGGUGUAAACCCUAAGCUGGAAAGGGCCCCUAGUGGGCUGCACGAGAUAUAAGGGUUUCAGCCCAAGACUGGAAGGCCGAACGUCUCUUUGUCAAUUCUGCUCAGCUCCGGUGGAAUUUCGUCAUGAGGUUGGAUCCAUCUGAAAGUGAACUUUAAGAUCUUUCCAAUGAGUACUCAUAUGCCUCAAACAACAUCCGGAGUUGAGAAAUAUUGCCACGUCAAUUUGAUGUUCCCUGGCUGUACGAACUUGAAGUCUAAACUUGAUGUCCGAUCUUGUGCUUUCUUAUUGUGUGAUCUUGAUGCCCAAACUGAUUGGUUGAUCCAUUAGGCUCCUCUCCAUCAUUCCUAAUAAUAAUAAAAUCAUCACAAUGACUUAGUAGCAUCCAAUUCUGAGAUGAGGGUUUAUGGACAGCGAGGAAUGAGUUAACCUGAUAAUUUAGCUCUCGUGCACGGGCUCUUGUCAUUGGUCCUUGCUGCAUAGUAGGUGUGGUUGUAUCAUUGGAAGGGAUGUCCUCAUCAACCGGGGCUUGCUUUCAGGUUCAGGAAAAGUUAGUGGGUCCUCGGGGUCUUGAUCUAGCUUGGGCUCAACUUCCGCGUGAUGUAGCUCUGCAGUAGGUUCCUGUUCCAGCGUAGGGUGGAGCUUGUAUUUUAUUACCAAGGGUAGCAUGCACUUAACCAUUUUCUCAAAACCUAUAGUGAUUCUGAGGGUGAAACUUUAACAGUGGGUUGAAGGCGUGUUACAGAGACUUUGGUGAAUUUUUCAUGAUUUUUAUAGAAGGACAUCUAUUUCCCAUAUUUUACUCCUAUUUAUCUUGUUCUAAACAAAAAGGUGGGUUUCAUCAAGAUUCAGUCAAGGUUUCAUAUUUUGCCUGUGAACUACACUUCAAAACUAAGCUACUCCAAGUGGUUUCAUAUUUUUCUUAGCUCUGGAUUAAAACUUAUGCAAAAAGAAAGAUUUAACUCCAGAUCUCAAAUAUAAAGCUAAAACAGUGAGUUAAAGUUCUACUCCAGGGUCUUCACUAUUUUUCCAAGCUUCCAUACUCAGAAACAUACACAAAGUUGGAUUUACCUUUUUAGCAUUUUUCUUCGAUUUACUAUGAUUUAAAAGGCCUAAGUAAGAAAUAAAACUAUAGGGUAUUAUUUCCAAUAGUAAUACAGGCAAGAUUAUUAUAAGAAACUAGACAGUUCACUGAGUCCAACAAAAGUGGUUUGGCAUUUUAAUGAUUUUUCUACGAUUUAUGGUGCAUUUACAAAGUUUAAACUAAUUUCCGUCGAUUUAAAACAAAAUAAUCAAAACAAACUUACAACCUAACCCUCGCGUCUACGGUUUAAUCGCACAGGGGUCCCUAGUUCUUGCUCUAAGGCCCCUGGAAAAAGAUAAAAGACACAGGGAGGCCCCUGGCGGCUGCCGGCGGCGAUCUUCGCUCGAUUCCAGCGAUGCGUGGCUCGGGCUAGGGCAAGAAGCUACCGGGGAGAAGCGCGUGCUCACCUAGGGUCGAUUGGCAGCAGUUAGGGCGUCGGAGAGGGCUUGGUGAAGGCGGAACACCGUGGGGACGAGGAGCGGGCCGCGGCGGUGGUCCUCGAGGUGUUCCGGCACCGGUAGCGCUAGGGGAGGGUAACGGGCAGCUCGGGGACGUGCACGGUGGGGCGGCGGAGCGAGCGGUGGUGUUAGCGAGGCGCGGGGUGGCGCGGAGGUUGGGGCUCCAUGGGAGACCCAAGCGGCGGUGCAAGAACAGGGGAGCGGUGGCGUUAGAUGUGGCGGAGGGCGGCGUAGGAUCAACUGGACUGAAGACAAUGACGAAUGGGGGUAGGAAAGCCCUAGGCCGAUCGGCCUGGGCACCUGUGAGCCGAUCAGCUUAGGGGGUUCUUGUCUCCACGGUGCUCCGCUUCGCAUGGCCUCAUGUAGAUCAAAUCUUCUCUCCAUUUUCUGAUCUUGUGACGGGGGUGGAUGGUGUUUGUGUGGUGUUUGCUCCUCUCUCUCCAACUCUUUCUCCUUGUAGUCCAUGAGGGGCUAUUUAUAGUUUUUCGUAGGUGGUGGCUCUGGGUUAAUGUCGGUGGAAAAACCCUAGAGAUGUUGUGGAUGGUACGCUGAAGAAACGGGAGCUUGACCGGGCCUAAGAUUGGGCUGGGUUGGUCGGCCUGGGCCCUUUCUGGCCCUCCUGGUCCUCUCCUUCCUCGUUCAGGUUUCCCUCAAUGACCUAUGUCCAAAUACCUAUUAAGCUCAUUAUGUAAACCCCCUUGAUUAUGUCAUAUUUCCUGUCUAAAUAUAAUAUGCUCCAAAAUACAACACAUAUAAAAUAAUGGGAUUAUUUCAAGUGCCAAGUGGUGGGUUAGUAUAAGAAUAUGCAUGAAAAUACUAGUUAAAUAGCACUAAAAGUGUCUCAAUAACGAGCGUCAACAGUGCCGCUGCGCAGACCCGCAGUAGGGCCAUCGCCACGACCCGUGCGCCGAUGCUGCCGUCUACUGCGCCGCCAAGAUCCGGUUGACUCCGACUGUCCGAGCUGCCCUGCCGACAGCCGUUGUAUUCCUAGUCACCGACGCGCUCAGCGCACACGGGACCUGGCCUUCCGCGCAUGAGAUCCGUCGUGCCUCCGGCCGCCAUGGCCACCUCGUGCCGUCCCCCACCCAGGAUGCACGGCGAAACCAGACCAGGCGAGAGACCCCGCCACCGCCAUCCUAGGGGGUUGCGUGGGCUUCCAGCUGCCCCCUCCGACGGUGGUGAGGUGACAGUAUGGGAGGGAGUGGGUGGUGGCGGCUAUGGUUUCCUAGUCGCCCCCGAGUUGCCCGAGCGGGGGAGCAACGCGGGGUCUCUUCGUUUUGUGUGUUCUCCUAUACACAAAUAUAGUGAAAUAGAUGAGACACUAAGUAUCCACUAAACUUUUUGGUAGCCACACACUCAUUUGCUCAAGCAUUAAGGUGAGAGUACACAACACAAUAGCAUGCAAUCCUUAAAGGAGAGUAAUAGCCAACCAAUGGAUUUUAUUGUGACAAUAUUUGGGCUGACAUAACCAAGGAAAAUUCCAACAGUGGAUUGUCAUCUAAAAUGCUUCGAGUCAAUCCUUUCGAUACCAAUGCAGAGUGCAGUGCCGUUAUUGUUUUAUAGCAGGUUGAUCAUAGCAUAUAAUGCACGACUCACCGGACCAGAAGUUGGUCGAAUGUAAUGAAACUUUUGCCCCCCAAGGCAUGCAGGUGUGUAAUAAGUUUCAAGUUUCGGAAAAAGAGUGUACACCCAAUUUUAAUUCGAUGAAACAUCUCCCCUUCCUCUUCAUAACUCUCUAACUAUAUGUCACAAAAUUUGCUUAUGUGAAACUCUAGUUACUAAUAAUGAAAGCCCCAUUUAAGUUUUUUUAAAAAAGAAUGAAAGCCCCAUUGGGACUGGCCGAAGAGAACCAUUCAAACAACAUGUGAUUGUUAACUGAAUUUAAUAAUACCGUUUCUUUUUAUAAAAAAAGCCUGAGUUAUUAUAGCUGUCCCAUGCUUCCACAUAUCAACUCAUAAUUUCAUUUGACAGCUCAUUAUUGAUAAUUCAAAUCUUAGUUACAACCGACGACAGACCAAUUCAUAUAUGGUGUACAAUAUAAAGACUCACUCCAUUCUAAAUCGUAGGUCAUUUUGACUUUUCUAAAUGCAUAGUUUUUACUAUGCAUCUAAACAUACACUAUAUCUAAGUGCAUAAAGUCAAAAAGACAUAGAAUUUGAAACGGAGGGAGUACAAGACUUCAUCCGGGACAUGCUUUUAUUUACUUGACCUGUAUGAAUGGUCCAUGCGAACACAUCCAUGUCCAAUUAUUUGGAGGCUUGGCGUUUAUAUUCUUUAGCCAAUUCUGGGAACCUCGGCCACGAUGUCAACCCAGAGACGAACGCGAUUUGGGUCAAAAUCUUGGGGGACGAAGGUGCCAACCGGGACAGCCUCAACAUUCAGCUCCGGCCGCUCCGCCUUGAUCUUCUCGGUCGCCGCUUUGAUCGUGCAUCCCUUUAGCUCAGGCCACUCUGUCUUGGGAGUAGCAUCGGCGCACCCCUUGCUAUCAUCUGAUGAGCUCAUCUUCUUCAGAGAUACCUGCAGAUUUUCUGCACAUUUGUUAAACAUGGGAAAGUCAGGCUGUAGAAAGUAGAAAUGAAGCAAACCAAAACUGCAGGCUUCAAUUCAGUUACUUCUUCUUCUUUUCGAAAUGCGCAUGACAAAUGAGAAGGUAGGUAAGCUAAGAAAGAACAAGAGGAGGAGAUUGAAACGGGAAAGUACUGCUCACCACAGAUGUAAGCACUUUGAACACGCUGAUGUGUGUUUAAUGGAUGAUAGAACGCAAUGCAAGUCGGGUUGUAUUUAUAGGCAAUCUUGAUUCAGCAAAACGUUUGUUCAAAGUCUUGUGUUUGCACAAGCAACCAUGAAAUUUCAAACCCUGACUGGUGAACCUUAUCCAGUUAUGGUAUGUCAUCGUCAAACCCUGACUGGUGAACCUUAUCCCAGUUAUGGUAUGUCAUCGUCAACUU
This 24864-nucleotide long non-coding RNA is filed under the name Setaria viridis. Its description in RNAcentral is "long non-coding RNA (SVIR_LNC007607)". Lineage: Eukaryota; Viridiplantae; Streptophyta; Magnoliopsida; Poales; Poaceae. The record is from RNAcentral.